Molecule: long non-coding RNA, 1659 nt
Organism: Phasianus colchicus (ring-necked pheasant)
Lineage: Eukaryota; Metazoa; Chordata; Aves; Galliformes; Phasianidae
Source: Ensembl
GAAUAUGCAUAAUCAUUUUGAUGCAGAGGGAGAGAUUAUCAUAAGUGCAGCCAAACAUUUGCUUUUUCUGAGCACUUGGUCACAAACUCUCCCUAAACUACUGGGAACUGAACAGGGAGAAAGUUUCCAUAGUCCCUGUGGCACAGAUCCUGCCUAGGUACUUUAUUUUGGGAGCAAAAGUCCCACUGACUUUCAAGCCACAGUGUAUGUAACAGGAGAUACCUACACUUCCAGAAGAAAGCCUCAGGUUUGUGGAGGACAUCUCUCUCUGUAGUCCCACUGUGCUUUUGUAUUCGCUGGCCCUCAUUCAGUACUGGUAGAUCAGUAGUGUUUUUUAAACUUCCAGGUGUCUUUCAACAGCGCCAUAAUCUUUCUCAUUCAAUUCUCCUCCGUCAAAUCUACCUCCUCUGGAUCAGAGAUUUCCUUCUCCUGCACACCCAUGCAAUGCUUGCUGCAGGGAAAAUCAGCGAGGCUGGUGAUGAGAUAGCUGCUGAGGCCAUCAGUGACCGCUCCCAACUCACAAGUUUCAUUCUGCUACCAGUAAAUGACAGAGAUGACAGCAGGAAGCACUUAACCAUUCAAAAGUACUGCAUCUCCAAAUCGACUCCAAGCUACAGAGACCACCACAGCUAUUCCAUAAUGACAGAAACAGCAACAGAAGGGGUAUCACAACUUUGGGGUCAGAAUCUAACUCCAAAAGUGUCAAGAAGUGCUUUUGGUGGAGGCAUUACUUGCUACUUGGAUUGCUAAUAAAAGGUCUGGUAAAGAUCAUUCCCAGAAGCAAACAUAGCUACCUGCAUGUAGGAUAUCAUCAGGCAGGAUUUACUUGUCUAAUUAGCUCAACAAUUUUGUUGUUGGCCUAUGUAUAGAAAAACUUCAUUUCCCUGCUAGAAAAGUCUGCUGUGCUUCCUUCAGCACUGCUGCUCAUAGACCUCUACACCUUCAUUCUGACUGAAGCUGGCACGGCUCACAGUCCUGGCUGAGGUCAGAGAUGGCUCACUCUUCUGGUUAAAAUGACCUUGCCUGAGCAAAGUCUCAAGAGUUUUCUCUGAAGGCCAUACUUAAUAUCGAGAGCAUUAAACAAAUUGUUUUGUGUGCGCUGUGGAAGAAAAGGCAUUUGAGUCUGAAUGCAAAGGCCAGUUCUGGAUAAAACCAGGGUCUCUGCUCCUACAGAGUAACAUUUGUGAUAAUCAGAGCUGAAAGGAAAGAUUUAACCUCCAGGGUUGAUGGGAGACCAAAAAGAUGAAAGGAUUUUUUAGAUGUGAAAAGACGGAUCAAGAAUUUUACUAAAUCCUGUGUCGAAGGGAAGGCUGAAAAUUGCCUUUGCUCUGAAUCUGGGACAUUUCAGCCUGAAGCAGGUGUGCCUUACGUCUCAAACAUGUCAUGUGUUUCCAUUUCAUUUUCACUGUUUUCAAUUCCCAUUCUCUCAGACUUUAUUUACUUGUUUCUUCCAACAGUAUGAUGGCAAAAACAGCCAAGAUGCAAAGCUUGUCUCUAAAUGCCUGAUUUAAAUAAUGCAUCCAUUAAUUUUUGCACCAAUAGUGGUACAACAUAAAACAGUACAUUAUUUUUCAGAAUCUGAUUCUGCAAAUAUUAGACCAUUUGACUAAAAUAUUCCUGAUGUAUAAAUAAAGUUACUCUUGUGCAUUAGUGUUUUCA